RNAcentral lists this ribosomal RNA (462 nucleotides) under Anelosimus seximaculatus. RNAcentral's name for it is "partial 16S ribosomal RNA". The stretch from base 317 to 462 matches the Rfam family "Archaeal large subunit ribosomal RNA", at positions 2544 to 2689 of the family's 2987-position model. The record is from RNAcentral. Lineage: Eukaryota; Metazoa; Arthropoda; Arachnida; Araneae; Theridiidae.
UAAUCCUAAUAGAUAAAACCUGCUCAAUGAGUAUAAUUUUAAAUUUACUUUAAAUAGCCGCAAUUUCUGUGCUAAGGUAGCAUAAUCAUUUGCCUUUUAAUUAAAAGCUAGAAUGAAAGGUUAAACAUUUAAACUACUUUAUUAAAACUAAAUUCUUAAUUUAUAUUAAAUAUAAAAAUAUAUUUUUAACUUAAAGAGACGACAAGACCCUAUUAAACUUAACUAAAGUUAAACUGGGGCAGUUUAUUAAUUAAUAUUUUAAUAAAAUUACUUUAAUAAAUAUCUAAUAAAAUUAAACUAAACAAGUUACUAUAGGGAUAACAGCGUUAUAUUUUUUGAAAGUUCAUAUUUAAAAAAAAUGAUUGCGACCUCGAUGUUGAAUUAUAUUUCUAUAUAAACGAAACCGUUAUAUAAGUAGGUCUGUUCGACCUUUAAAAUAUUACAUGAUCUGAGUUCAAACMR